RNAcentral lists this ribosomal RNA (497 nucleotides) under uncultured bacterium. RNAcentral describes it as "partial 16S ribosomal RNA". It matches the Rfam family "Bacterial small subunit ribosomal RNA", at positions 28 to 507 of the family's 1533-position model. The record is from RNAcentral.
GAUGAACGCUGGCGGCGUGCCUAAUACAUGCAAGUCGAGCGAACAGACGAGGAGCUUGCUCCUCUGACGUUAGCGGCGGACGGGUGAGUAACACGUGGAUAACCUACCUAUAAGACUGGGAUAACUUCGGGAAACCGGAGCUAAUACCGGAUAACAUGUUGAACCGCAUGGUUCAACAGUGAAAGACGGUCUUGCUGUCGCUUAUAGAUGGAUCCGCGCCGCAUUAGCUAGUUGGUAAGGUAACGGCUUACCAAGGCAACGAUGCGUAGCCGACCUGAGAGCGUGAUCGGCCACACUGGAACUGAGACACGGCCCAGACUCCUACGGGAGGCAGCAGUAGGGAAUCUUCCGCAAAGGGCGAACGCCUGACGGAGCAACGCCGCGUGAGUGAAGAAGGUCUUCGGAUCGUAAAACUCUGUUAUUAGGGAAGAACAAAUGUGUAAGUAACUAUGCACGUCUUGACGGUACCUAAUCAGAAAGCCACGGCUAACUACGUG